RNAcentral lists this ribosomal RNA (464 nucleotides) under Vreelandella stevensii. RNAcentral's name for it is "partial 16S ribosomal RNA". It matches the Rfam family "Bacterial small subunit ribosomal RNA", at positions 338 to 794 of the family's 1533-position model. The record is from RNAcentral. Lineage: Bacteria; Pseudomonadati; Pseudomonadota; Gammaproteobacteria; Oceanospirillales; Halomonadaceae.
CCUACGGGUGGCUGCAGUGGGGAAUAUUGGACAAUGGGCGAAAGCCUGAUCCAGCCAUGCCGCGUGUGUGAAGAAGGCCUUCGGGUUGUAAAGCACUUUCAGUGGGGAAGAAAGCCUUGGGGCUAAUACCCUCGAGGAAGGACAUCACCCACAGAAGAAGCACCGGCUAACUCCGUGCCAGCAGCCGCGGUAAUACGGAGGGUGCGAGCGUUAAUCGGAAUUACUGGGCGUAAAGCGCGCGUAGGCGGUCUGAUAAGCCGGUUGUGAAAGCCCCGGGCUCAACCUGGGAACGGCAUCCGGAACUGUCAGGCUAGAGUGCAGGAGAGGAAGGUAGAAUUCCCGGUGUAGCGGUGAAAUGCGUAGAGAUCGGGAGGAAUACCAGUGGCGAAGGCGGCCUUCUGGACUGACACUGACGCUGAGGUGCGAAAGCGUGGGUAGCAAACAGGAUUAGAUACCCCGGUAGC